RNAcentral lists this ribosomal RNA (440 nucleotides) under Colletotrichum musae. RNAcentral's name for it is "eukaryotic LSU rRNA". It matches the Rfam family "Eukaryotic large subunit ribosomal RNA", at positions 137 to 585 of the family's 3401-position model. Lineage: Eukaryota; Fungi; Ascomycota; Sordariomycetes; Glomerellales; Glomerellaceae. The record is from RNAcentral.
CCCGAGUUGUAAUUUGUAGAGGAUGCUUUUGAUGCGGUGCCUUCCGAGUUCCCUGGAACGGGACGCCAUAGAGGGUGAGAGCCCCGUCUGGUUGGAUGCCAAAUCUCUGUAAAGCUCCUUCGACGAGUCGAGUAGUUUGGGAAUGCUGCUCUAAAUGGGAGGUAUAUGUCUUCUAAAGCUAAAUACCGGCCAGAGACCGAUAGCGCACAAGUAGAGUGAUCGAAAGAUGAAAAGCACUUUGAAAAGAGAGUUAAAAAGUACGUGAAAUUGUUGAAAGGGAAGCGUUUAUGACCAGACUUGGGCUUGGUUAAUCAUCUGGGGUUCUCCCCAGUGCACUUUUCCAGUCCAGGCCAGCAUCAGUUUUCGCCGGGGGAUAAAGGCUUCGGGAAUGUGGCUCUCUCCGGGGAGUGUUAUAGCCCGUUGCGUAAUACCCUGGCGGG